UACGUAGGGGCCUAGCGUUGUCCGGAAUUAUUGGGCGUAAAGAGCUCGUAGGCGGUUCGGCAAGUCGGAUGUGAAAUCUCCACGCUUAACGUGGAGGGGCCAUUCGAAACUGCUGUGACUCGAGUCCGGUAGGGGAGUGUGGAAUUCCCGGUGUAGCGGUGAAAUGCGCAGAUAUCGGGAGGAACACCAGUAGCGAAGGCGGGUCUCUGGACAGUUCCUGACACUGAGACACGAAGGCCAGGGGAGCAAACGGG
This 254-nucleotide ribosomal RNA is filed under the name uncultured bacterium. RNAcentral's name for it is "partial 16S ribosomal RNA". It matches the Rfam family "Bacterial small subunit ribosomal RNA", at positions 524 to 776 of the family's 1533-position model. The record is from RNAcentral.